CUUUUUCAGUUUCCUUCCUCUCUUCCCAGCUUCCAUGGCAAAUUCUGUCCUGUGGCUCUGCAAACUGUUUCUUGUUUUGUGUACACAAGGAUUUAAUGCUCCAGUGACUAUGAAAAUGAGCUCUGAUUCCAAUGGCAGGAGAUCUGGGAACCAAAUCGCUUACAGUGAAUUAAUUGCACGAACCAAUGGCACUGCAAGUCUCCAGCUUUUCUGAGAAAUUCAAAACAGGCUUUGCCUGUUACCAUGCACAGUAAUGGGAGAAGGUUGUCAACCUGCAUGAUGGCGACAGUCGGCCAACUUCUGUGUGACUCUUGAAGGCUGUUGCUACCCUGAGAUGGCUCAAGAAGUGGUGGGGCCCUUUGUACACCAGUCAUCUUGGGAAUAAAGAAGGUUUUGUGGUAA
Heterocephalus glaber (naked mole-rat) is the source of this 402-nucleotide long non-coding RNA. RefSeq lists it as uncharacterized. The record is from RefSeq and is a predicted model, not a curated record. NCBI's taxonomy places the organism in Eukaryota, Metazoa, Chordata, Mammalia, Rodentia, Bathyergidae.